AUAGUACUCCCUCCAUCCGAAAAUACUCGUCGAAGAAAUAGAUGUAUCUAGACAUAUUUUAGUUUUAGAUACAUCCACUUUUAUCCAUUUGUGCGACAAGUAAUUCCGGACGGAGGGAGUAGAAA
This is a non-coding RNA of Triticum aestivum (bread wheat), 125 nucleotides long. NCBI's taxonomy places the organism in Eukaryota, Viridiplantae, Streptophyta, Magnoliopsida, Poales, Poaceae. The record is from Rfam.